GAUGAACGCUGGCGGCGUGCCUAAUACAUGCAAGUCGAGCGAACAGAUGAGGAGCUUGCUCCUCUGACGUUAGCGGCGGACGGGUGAGUAACACGUGGAUAACCUACCUAUAAGACUGGGAUAACUUCGGGAAACCGGAGCUAAUACCGGAUAAUAUAUUGAACCGCAUGGUUCAAUAGUGAAAGACGGUUUUGCUGUCACUUAUAGAUGGAUCCGCGCCGCAUUAGCUAGUUGGUAAGGUAACGGCUUACCAAGGCGACGAUGCGUAGCCGACCUGAGAGGGUGAUCGGCCACACUGGAACUGAGACACGGUCCAGACUCCUACGGGAGGCAGCAGUAGGGAAUCUUCCGCAAUGGGCGAAAGCCUGACGGAGCAACGCCGCGUGAGUGAUGAAGGUCUUCGGAUCGUAAAACUCUGUUAUUAGGGAAGAACAAAUGUGUAAGAAACUAUGCACGUCUUGACGGUACCUAAUCAGAAAGCCACGGCUAACUACGUG
This 497-nucleotide ribosomal RNA is filed under the name uncultured bacterium. RNAcentral's name for it is "partial 16S ribosomal RNA". It matches the Rfam family "Bacterial small subunit ribosomal RNA", at positions 28 to 507 of the family's 1533-position model. The record is from RNAcentral.